Molecule: ribosomal RNA, 2568 nt
Filed under: Triticum aestivum (bread wheat)
Lineage: Eukaryota; Viridiplantae; Streptophyta; Magnoliopsida; Poales; Poaceae
Description: partial small subunit ribosomal RNA
Source: RNAcentral
AUGCCGGCCACCGUCCACCUCGCGCCGCUUCCCCAUCGCGCACAGCCACACGCAAGCAAGCCUCCUCCGCCGCCGGUGAAGCCCGUUGCCCCGUCGCUCCCGCAAUGGAACGCCCUCCUCGCCGACCACUCCCGAGCCGGCCGCCAUGCCGCCGCCCUCGCGCUCCUGCCCCCGCUCCUCGCCGCCUCAGAGGGCCUCGCUCCCGACAGGUUCACGCUGCCUCCCGCCGCCAGGUCCUGCGGCUUCCUCCGCGGCGGGGCCGCGGCCGCGGGGCGCCAGGUCCACGCGCUCGCCGCCAAGCUCGGCCUGCCCGGCGACCCCUUCGUCGGCAACUCCCUCGUCUCGAUGUACGGCCGGUGCGGCCGCGUCGAGGACGCCGAGAAGGUGUUCGGCGGAAUUCCGGAUGCGUCCAGGAACCUCGUGUCCUGGAACGCGCUCAUGGCGGCCCUCUCUGGUGACCCGCGGCGCGGCCUGGAGCUUUUGCGGGACUGCCUGGUGGCGCUUGGCGGGAUGGUGGACGAGGCGACGCUGGUGACGGUGCUCCCAAUGUGCGCCGCGCUCGGGUGGUCGGAGACGGGCAGGGCGGUGCACGGCAUCGCGGCCAAGUCCGGCUGGGACGCGGCGGCGCGGGUGGGCAACGCGCUUGUCGACAUGUACGCCAAGUGCGGCGAGCUCGCGGACGCCGAGCGCGCGUUCCCAGAUGCUCCGUCCGUCGUGUCCUGGAACGUGAUGCUCGGCGCGUACGCGCGGAACCGCGAGGCCAGCGCGGCGUUCGGGCUGCUGCGAGACAUGCAGAUCGAAGAACACGGCAGCGUGCCGGCCGACGAGAUCACCAUGCUGAGCGUCCUGCCGGCGUGCUCCGGGCCGCCGGACCUGGCUAGGCUGAGGGAGCUGCACGCCUUCACCGUUCGGAGAGGCCUGGAUGCCACCGGCGACAAGGUGCCAAACGCGCUGGUGGCAGCCUACGGGAGAUGCGGGCGCCUGCUCCAGGCCGACCGCGUCUUCGCCGGCAUCCGGAGCAAGACGGUGAGCUCGUGGAAUGCACUCAUCGGUUCCCACGCGCAACAGAACAGCGCGGCCGCGAUCGAGCUGUUCAUUCAGAUGACCAAUGCCUGCGGGCUGAAGCCUGACGGGUUCAGCAUUGGGAGCUUGCUCAUGGCAUGUGCCGAUCCGAAGCACCUGCUCCAUGGCAAGGCUACCCAUGGAUUCAUCCUCAGGAAUGGGCUGGAGAAGGACCCUAUCAUCCGGGUCUCGCUCCUCUCGGCUUACAUCCGAUGCAGCAGGACGGAGCCUUUGGCUCGAGUGCUGUUCGAUGCAAUGGAGGAAAAGGGUGAGGUUUCAUGGAACGCCAUGAUCGCCGGGUACUCGCAGAACGGGCUACCCGGUGAGUCACUCCAGCUCUUCAGGGAGAUGCAAUCCAUGGAAGGCCAUUGUUCAUCAAUGAUUUCAGCAACAAGUGCCUUGAUGGCCUGCUCAGAGUUAUCAGCUGUUCGAUUAGGGAAGGAGAUGCACUGCUUUGCCCUGAAAGCUGACCUAUGCGAGGACCCGUUUCUAUCGAGCUCAGUGAUCGACAUGUACUCGAAGUGCGGAUUUGCGGACGAUGCCAGGGCGUUCUUUGACCGGUUGAAGGCAAGAGACGCAAAGGUGUCAUGGACGGUGAUGAUCACCGGGUACGCCGUCAAUGGUUUGGGCAAAGAAGCUGUUGAGCUGUAUGGCAAGAUGAGGAGGGAGGGGGUGGAACCUGAUGAAUUCACCUACCUUGGCCUACUGAUGGCAUGUGGCCAUGCCGGGAUGGUGGAGGAGGGGCUGCAUUUCUUUGAGGAGAUGAGAAACCAUCAUCACAUAAUAGAACCGAAGCUAGAGCACUAUGGCUGCGUCAUCGGCAUGCUGAGCCGGGCAGGGCGCUUCGCCGACGCGGUGGCGCUCAUGGCGGAGAUGCCGCAGGAGCCGGACGCCAAGAUACUGAGCUCCAUGCUCUCAGCCUGCCACAUACAUGGAGAAGCAGAGCUGGGAAGCGAGGUCGCUGACAGGUUGCUUGAGCUUGAACCCGACAAGGCCGAGCACUACGUCCUUGCCUCCAACAUGUACGCCGGGUCUGGGUGGUGGGAUGAGAUGAGGAAGGUGAGGAAGAUGCUCAGGGACGCCGGCAUCGCCAAGGAGCCAGGCAGCAGCUGGAUCGAUGUGGCGGGCAAGGUGUACAGCUUCGUCGCCGGAGAAAACACGCUCCCUGAGAUGGACGGGGUGAGGAGGAUGUGGCGCAGCCUGGAGGAAAGGAUCCGCGAGAUCGGGUACGUUCCCGACACCACGGUCGUGCUGCACGAGCUCGAGGAGGAAGAGAAAGUGGAGGCGCUGCGGUGGCACAGCGAGAAGCAGGCCGUCGCGUUCGGGCUGCUGAGGAUGGCCGCGCCGGCGACGGUGAGGGUGUUCAAGAACAUCAGGAUGUGCAAGGAUUGCCACAAUGCCGCCAGGCUCAUCUCCAAGGUGACAGGGAGGGAGAUUGUGGUUCGGGACAAGAAGAGGUUCCAUCAUUUCAGGGAUGGUAUCUGCUCCUGUGGGGAUUACUGGUGA